AAUAGAUACCCUGGUAGUCCACGCCGUAAACGAUGGAUACUAGCUGUUUGAGCGCAAGUUUGAGUGGCUAAGCGAAAGUGAUAAGUAUCCCACCUGGGGAGUACGGGCGCAAGCCUGAAACUCAAAGGAAUUGACGGGGGCCCACACAAGCGGUGGAGCAUGUGGUUUAAUUCGAUGAUACGCGAGGAACCUUACCAGGGCUUAAAUGUAGAUUGACGUAUUUGGAAACAGAUAUUUCUUCGGACAAUUUACAAGGUGCUGCAUGGUUGUCGUCAGCUCGUGCCGUGAGGUGUCAGGUUAAGUCCUAUAACGAGCGCAACCCCUGUUGUUAGUUGCCAGCGAGUAAUGUCGGGAACUCUAGCAAGACUGCCAGUGUAAACUGUGAGGAAGGUGGGGAUGACGUCAAAUCAUCACGGCCCUUACGUCCUGGGCCACACACGUGCUACAAUGGCCGGUACAGAGAGCAGCCACUUAGCGAUAAGGAGCGAAUCUAUAAAGCCGGUCACAGUUCGGAUCGGAGU
Molecule: ribosomal RNA, 521 nt
Filed under: uncultured bacterium
Lineage: Bacteria
Description: bacterial SSU rRNA
Rfam family: Bacterial small subunit ribosomal RNA
Source: RNAcentral